GAGUACUAUCAAUGUAUCAAGGGAGGUAGUUCUCUCCACAGGCGCCCUCAAGACUCCCUUCAUCCUUAAGCACUCCGGAAUCGGACCCAAGGAGGAGCUGGAGAACUUCGACAUCACGGUUGUUAAGGACUUGCCUGGUGUUGGCGAAAACUUCCAUGACCAUCCGACCUUUCCUGUAAGCUUCACCUUGAACGACCUCGACGAAUACGACGACAGCUGGGCUGUUGCUGUUGAGUACCUCACGUUCCGAACCUGGCCUUUGUCAUCCACUGGACUGACUCAGGUUGUAGGCGUCUUGCCGAACAACGAUACCACUGAUGAAUGGCCCAACGUACAGCUCAAUCCUGCUGGUUACCAGUCAGGUUGCGCUCCUGGUGAAAUCGACGCCCUUAAGAGCUCUGGAAAACGUAGCGUGAGCAUAUCCGUUGGAUGGUAGCACCACGGCAGCAAAGGAAACAUCACCCUGCGUUCGAGCAACGUCACUGACAAGCCCGUCUUCUGGGGAAAUUUCCUGGGUGAGCAGGAAGAUGUUGAUGGUUUGGUCAGCGGUGUCAACUUGGCUUUGAAGUUGGCUGAAACUGACGCCUUGAAGGCCUGGAAUCUAACUUUGUCCACCACGACACUUUCCGGAUGCGCAGACUACCAUUACCCUAGUGACGAGUAUUGGGCUUGCGCUGUCAAGUACGACACUGCUUUUGGACAUCAUUACUGUGGUACCGCCAAGAUGGGCAAUUCCUCCGAUUCCAUGGCAGUCGUCGAUCCUCAGCUACGCGUUUCUGGAAUCAGCGGACUUCACGUUGCCGACGCAUCUGUCAUGCCACAAGUCACAUCAAACAACAUUGCGGCGCCCGUAAUGAUGAUUGAAGAGUGAGCUGUCGACUUUAUCAAGAAAACCUGGGCCUAGUAAUUUUGGCCGUGGCAUAGAGACUCUUGUGAAUAUUGAUUAUCUGUAAUGAAACCAUGUAAAAAAAAGUAAAAUUUUAAAUAAAGGCUUGUGUUCGUUACGGAUCUGCGAAGUUUGCCGUUAUUUU
This 1031-nucleotide long non-coding RNA is filed under the name Neodiprion pinetum (white pine sawfly). RNAcentral's name for it is "uncharacterized LOC124219428". The record is from RNAcentral. Lineage: Eukaryota; Metazoa; Arthropoda; Insecta; Hymenoptera; Diprionidae.